This 250-nucleotide ribosomal RNA is filed under the name uncultured bacterium. RNAcentral's name for it is "partial 16S ribosomal RNA". It matches the Rfam family "Bacterial small subunit ribosomal RNA", at positions 524 to 774 of the family's 1533-position model. The record is from RNAcentral.
UACAGAGGGUGCAAGCGUUAAUCGGAGUUAUUGGGCGUAAAGGGCGCGUAGGUGGAUACUUAAGUCAAUUGUGAAAUACCCGGGCUUAACCUGGGAAUUGCAUUUGAUACUGAGUAUCUAGAGUAUGGGAGAGGAAAGCGGAAUUCCCGGUGUAGCGGUAAAAUGCGUAGAUAUCGGGAAGAACACCAGUGCGAAGGCGGCUUUCUGGACCAAUACUGACACUGAGGCGCGAAAGCGUGGGGAGCAAACA